Long non-coding RNA from Dermacentor silvarum, 1798 nucleotides. RefSeq lists it as uncharacterized. The record is from RefSeq and is a predicted model, not a curated record. NCBI's taxonomy places the organism in Eukaryota, Metazoa, Arthropoda, Arachnida, Ixodida, Ixodidae. The transcript has 5 exons.
ACCGGUUGUUGACUCGCGCUUGUUUACGCGCCGUUUGCGCCAGCGUCGGUCGUGGUUAAAACUUGUUUGCACGUGACUAGUGCGGAACCAACACGUGACGUCUAUGCAUCUCAUUUGCUUGUUAUUGCCGCGUGUUUGUGUAAGCUGCGUGCUCCUUUAGCUCACUGUCCUUUGGUGCGUAGGGUGCAGCAGUAGUGUCUGUGGUGGUGUGUUACGUGUGGUCCGCCAGUCACAUUUCGCCGUUAUUAAACGCUGGAGCAAACCAAAGGCCGGCCUGAAGCAGCUUUUGUCACUUUCAACCCAGCAUGGAUCCUUUCAUCAAGUUUUUCGUGGAAUGUGUCUGCUUCAGUUUUCUCCUCAAUCUGGCCUACACUUUUGAUGAUGAAUUUGAUGCUAAAAAAUUUCAUGAGAUGCACCGGAUACAUACCCCGCCCCUGGAACACACCCCACUAAGCGUGCCUAUUGAAGUGAUCAUUGGUUUCUCCAUCAUGGCGAUGAUUAUACUGGCCUGUUUCAUCACAUCCUGCAUCUGCCAUCGACGACACCCCGAGUGGUUUCCACAAAGACCUCGCACUCUAUCACCACUGCUACCGGCUGGACCUCCAGUGACAUCGGGGGCAACUACUCAGGGAGUAUAUGCUCCAUUACCAGGGGCAACUCCAGCUCUGGUCACUUCACCACAAGUAUAUACUGUGGUCCCAGGAGCAGCUCCAACUCCAGUCAUUGUCUAUCCACAACAGACUUACUACCUGCAAACAAAUGCGCCACACCCUGUGGGUGUGGACGAGUAAUACCAUGGCACCUCCGGCACAGCUGUCUGCUGCACCACUGCCAUCGCAGCCUGUACCACGCUCUCGUUACGGACAUGCAAAUUCCAAGGAUAUCUCCAAGGUGCCGUUGUGCCGUGACUGGUGAAGCUGCCAAGCAGUGCCUGGGUUGAAACCAGGCUCUUUGGUGGCUUUGCUCUUUUGCCUUCCAUUACCUUUGCACAGAAGUGUGUGGUAUUGUUAUUAUCACAUGCCGGACCUACCGCAGUAACCCAGUGGCCAUGGAAUUGUGCUGCUGAGCUCGAGAUCGUCGCUUUGAUACAAGCCAUGGCAGCCGCAUUUCAAUUGGGGCUAAAUGCGAAAACAUUUGAGCAUAUGGAUUUCCGUGCACGUUAAAGAACCCCAGGUUGUCAAAAAUCCAUCUGGAGUGCCCCAGUAGAGCGUGCUUUUUAAUAAUAUUGUGCUUUUUGCUUCGUAAUACUCCAGAAUUUAAUUUUAUAUACAUCUCAAGCAAAAGCUUGCUUCGUGCGAUGUGAACAUUGCAAAGUUGAAUUUGCCGGCAAAGUGCAAGACGAUGCCGGGGCUGUUAUAACAUCAUGACUGCUCAAGGUAGCCAGCCGGUCUGACAACUGGCCAACCUCCCAGUCUUUCCAUCUAUUCCUCCUUGUGACUUGCACAUACUGGCAGGAAUUGUAGCAACCUUGUAGUAAAGUUGGAGGAGGCCAAAUGUUUUUACAGUUGGUCCUCGAUAUAACGAGCAUGGAUAUAACAAAGUAAAUUUGAAAUGUUUCUCACCAAUACCAAUGUGUAAUGAAUAUAUGCUAAUAGUGGAUAUUGGAUAUAAUGAACGUGUUUAUCUUCAUGUCAGUCGGUGACAUUGUAAUGACGCUCGUCUAUAUUUCUCAGUAGAUCAACUGCUCCAUGCUAUUGUUGCUUUUAUCACAGAAUGGAAUCUUUUUUCAGCAUGGCCAGACCAGUAUACAUUUCACUGGCCAAGUUUACGAGCUUGUCGCCAUGUGUCGUCAAGCUUC